UCAGCCGCCUAACCCGCUCAGCCAUCGCAACUACCACAAAAUGGAAGUCGGACAACUGGUAGUCUAGACUGUGGACUAUGUGUACCCCUCUGAUAAGCGUAAAUUGGUACGGCUCCCACGCCCGAAAGCUAUCAAUGCAAAGUGCCAUU
Long non-coding RNA from Haliotis rubra (blacklip abalone), 149 nucleotides. RefSeq lists it as uncharacterized. Lineage: Eukaryota; Metazoa; Mollusca; Gastropoda; Lepetellida; Haliotidae. The transcript is spliced from 3 exons. The record is from RefSeq and is a predicted model, not a curated record.